RNAcentral lists this ribosomal RNA (406 nucleotides) under uncultured bacterium. Its description in RNAcentral is "partial 16S ribosomal RNA". It matches the Rfam family "Bacterial small subunit ribosomal RNA", at positions 30 to 526 of the family's 1533-position model. The record is from RNAcentral.
AUUGAACGCUGGCGGCAGGCCUAACACAUGCAAGUCGAACGAGUGGCGGACGGGUGAGUAAUGUCUGGGAAACUGACCGCUAGAGAGGGAUAACUACUGGAAAAGGUAUCUAAUACCGCAUACCAUCUUAUAUGCCCCGAGGGGGUUAGCUAGUAGGUGGGGUAACGGCUCACCUAGGCGACGAUCCCUAGCAGGUCUGAGAGGAUGACCAGCCACAAUGGAACUGAGACACGGUCCAGACUCCUACGGGAGGCAGCAGUGGGGAAUAUUGCACAAUGGUCGCAAGCCUGAUGCAGCCAUGCCGCGUGUAUGAAGAAGGCCUUCGGGUUGUAAAGUACUUUCAGCGAGGAGGCGUUACUCGCAGAAGAAGCACCGGCUAACUCCGUGCCAGCAGCCGCGGUAAUUC